Molecule: small nuclear RNA, 151 nt
Organism: Vulpes vulpes (red fox)
Lineage: Eukaryota; Metazoa; Chordata; Mammalia; Carnivora; Canidae
Gene: U4
Rfam family: U4 spliceosomal RNA
About the family: U4 small nuclear RNA (U4 snRNA) is a component of the major U2-dependent spliceosome. The structure of U4 snRNA from yeast and human has been reported. U4 snRNA presents a k-turn RNA motif in the 5p-SL related to recognition of Snu13 protein.
Source: Ensembl
AGCUUUGCACAGUGGCAGUAUCGUAGCCAAUGAGGUUUAUCCGAGGCAUGAUUAUUGCUAAUUGAUCAACGACAAGAGAGAUUGUGGAGUUUACUGACAGAAAAGAAUUUUUUUUUAAAAAAAUUAAGAAUUCCUGGGUACCUUUUUAUGG